GUUUUUUCCUCCCUUCCAGUUGGCAGGUUUGCCAUGAAUUUUCUAGCAAGUUUCCUUUGUGUGUCCUACUUUAUGGCAGUGUUCACACCAAGGCCUAUUGGACUUACGACAUUGAUCUUGGGGCUGAUUGAAUUGUCCUCUUGCAGCAAGAGCUGAUCCCUCAUUUGUUAGGCCUUGAGGAGAGAGAUCUUUCAGCAUCACUUUCUUCCGACUUUCCUCCCUGCGAACCUCAGAACAUGCUUCGCGGAUGGAGGGAAGUGGUUUGGUUGAGAGAAUCCUUCCCCUGACUUCGUCCAAGUUUUUGUUGAGACCGGCAAGAAAUGUGAAGAUCCGUUCCUUCUCAAUGAUCUUUUGGUACUUAAGGGCAUCAGUUGGACAGUCCCACUCAAGUCCCUCAAGAAUAUCCAGUUGUUGCCAGUAUCGAGUGAGGAUACUGAAAUAUUGAGUGACGUUGAGGUCACCUUGGCGCAGAUCACGAAUUUGACUCUUAAUCUCAAAGGUUUCAGCUGCAUUUUCACUAUCGGAGAAAGUUUCUUUUGCUGCAUCCCAAAUCUCCUUCGCUGUUUUGUAGAACAGAAAAGUUUGUCAAACAUCUGCUUCCAUUGAGUUUAUCAGCCACGACAUGACCAUAUUGUUCUCGGUCUUCCAUGAUUUGUAUGAAGGAUCAUCCUUCUGAGGUUCAUUUUUCUCUCCUGUCAAAUAAUCAUCCUUGCCUCUGCCACUGAUAUACAUCAUUACUGAUUGAAACCAUUGCAGGAAAUUGCGUCCAUUAAGUUUAUGAACUGUGAUCAGCGAAACGGAGCCUUCGGAUGUUCCACAGGAACUUGGAAGAUUUGAUGAUAGACUAGAGGUGACUUCCGUUGGAGCGGAAGGUUGAGUUUUUGUUGAUCCUAAUGAGGCCAUGAUUUUGUCCAGGUUCAAAAGAAAAUUUUUCAGAUGUG
Molecule: long non-coding RNA, 941 nt
Filed under: Olea europaea subsp. europaea
Lineage: Eukaryota; Viridiplantae; Streptophyta; Magnoliopsida; Lamiales; Oleaceae
Source: RNAcentral